This 103-nucleotide ribosomal RNA is filed under the name Frullania microcaulis. RNAcentral's name for it is "partial 5.8S ribosomal RNA". It matches the Rfam family "5.8S ribosomal RNA", at positions 53 to 154 of the family's 154-position model. Rfam says of the family: 5.8S ribosomal RNA (5.8S rRNA) is a component of the large subunit of the eukaryotic ribosome. The record is from RNAcentral. Lineage: Eukaryota; Viridiplantae; Streptophyta; Jungermanniopsida; Porellales; Frullaniaceae.
AUGCGAUACCUAGUGUGAAUUGCAGAAUUCCGCGAAUCAUCGAGUCUUUGAACGCAAGUUGCGCCCGAGGCUCGUACCGAGGGCAUGUCUGUCUGAGCGUCCA